This 445-nucleotide ribosomal RNA is filed under the name uncultured bacterium. RNAcentral's name for it is "partial 16S ribosomal RNA". It matches the Rfam family "Bacterial small subunit ribosomal RNA", at positions 354 to 796 of the family's 1533-position model. The record is from RNAcentral.
GUAGGGAAUAUUGGGCAAUGGAGGCAACUCUGACCCAGCCAUGCCGCGUGCAGGAUGACGGCCCUCUGGGUUGUAAACUGCUUUUAUACGGGAAGAAAAAAUACUACGUGUAGUAUACUGACGGUACCGUAAGAAUAAGGAUCGGCUAACUCCGUGCCAGCAGCCGCGGUAAUACGGAGGAUCCAAGCGUUGUCCGGAUUUAUGGGGUUCAAAGGGUGCGUAGGCGGAUCUUUAAGUCAGUGGUGAAAGCCUGCAGCUUAACUGUAGAGUUGACAGUGAAACUGAAGAUCUUGAAUGUGGUUAAAGUAGGCGGAAUGUAUCAUGUAGCGGUGAAAUGCUUAGAUAUGAUACAGAACACCGAUAGCGAAGGCAGCUUGCUGAACCAUUAUUGACGCUGAGGCACGAAAGCGUGGGGAGCGAACAGGAUUAGAAACCCGAGUAGUCC